This is a ribosomal RNA of Macadamia integrifolia, 3306 nucleotides long. The record is from RefSeq and is a predicted model, not a curated record. NCBI's taxonomy places the organism in Eukaryota, Viridiplantae, Streptophyta, Magnoliopsida, Proteales, Proteaceae.
CGACCCCAGGUCAGGCGGGGCUACCUACUGAGUUUAAGCAUAUCAAUAAGCGGAGGACAAGAAACUUACAAGGAUUCCCUUAGUAACGGCUAGCGAACCGGGAAGAGCCCAGCUUGAGAACCAGGCGGAUUUGUCGUUCGAAUUGUAGUCUGUAGAAGCGUCCUCAGCGGCGAACCAAGCCCAAGUCCCCUGGAAGGGGGUGCCGGAGAGGGUGAGAGCUCCAUCGUGUCUGAACCCUAUCGCACCAUGAGGCACUGUCGGAGAGUCGGGUUGUUUGGGAAUGCAGCCCCAAUUGGGCGGUAAAUUUCAUCCAAGGCUAAAUAUGGGCGAGAGACCGAUUGAGAACAAGUACCGCCAGGGAAAGAUGAAAAGGAAUUUGAAAAGAGAGUCAAAGAGUGCUAGAAAUUGUUAAGAGGGAAGCAGAUGGGGGCUGACGGUGCGUCUCGGUCAGAUGUGGAACGGUUAAUAGCCGGUCCACCGCUCGACUCGAGCCGUGGACCGAUGUGGAUUACGGUGGCAUCCCAAGCCUGGGUUAUCGUGUUAUUCCUGAGGAGAUGUUGUUGCCAUGAUCAUGGUAGGUAGCAUGCACCUCGAUGGCAUGCCUAUUGGAAACUGCAUGCUCCAGGCAUCGGCCUAAUGGGCACCCCAUUCAACCCAUCUUGAAACACAGACCAAGGAGUCUAAUAUGUGUGCGAGUCAGCGGGCAAGUAAAACCUGUAAGGCAUAAGGAAGCUGACUAAUGGGAUCCCCUUGUGGGUUGCACCGGUGACCGACCUUGAUCUUCUGUGAAGGGUUCGAGUGAGAGCAUACCUAUCGGGACCCGAAAGAUGGUGAACUAUGCCUGAGUAGGGUGAAGCCAGAGGAAACUUUGGUGGAGGCCCGCAGCAAUACUGACGUGCAAAUUUUUCAUCUGACUUGGGUAUAGGGGUGAAAGACUAAUCAAACCGUCUAGUAGUUGGUUCCCUCUGAAGUUUUCCUCAAGAUAGCUGGAGCCCGCGGGCGAGUUCUAUCGGGUAAAGCCAAUGAUUAGAGGCAUCGGGGGUGCAAUGCCCUCGACCUAUUCUCAAACUUUAAAUAGUAGGACGGCAUGGUUGCAUCGUUGAGCCAUGCCAUGGAAUCGAAAGCGCUAAGUGGGCUAUUUUUUGUAAGCAGAACUAGCGAUGUGGGAUGAACCAGAAGCCGGGUUACGGUGUUGGAUUGCACGCUAACCUAGAACCCACAAAGGGUGUUGGUCGAUUAAGACAGCAGGACGGUGGUCAUAGAAGUCGAAAUCCGCUAAGGAGUGUGUAACAACUCACCUACCAAAUCAACUAGCCCCGAAAAUGGAUGGCGCUGAAGCACGCAACAUAUACCCAGCCGUCGGGGUAACUGCCAGGCCCUGAUGAGUAGGAGGGAAUGGCGAUCACCAUAAAACCUGGGGCAUGAGCCCAGGCAGAGCGACUGUCGGUACAGAUCUUGGUGGUAGUAGCAAAUAUUCAAAUGAGAAAUUUGAAGGCUGAAGAGGGGAAAGUUUCCAUGUGAACGGCACUUACACAUGGGUUAGUUGAUCCUAAGGGAUGGCGGAAGCCCAUCAGAGAGCGUGUACACGUGCGUGCUCUGAAAGGGAAUCGGGUUAAAAUUCUUGAGCCGGGAUGUGGCGGUUGACAGCAACGUUAGGAAGUCCGGAGACAUCGACGGGGGCCAUGGGAAGAGUUAUCUUUUCUGUUUAACAGUCUGCCCACCCUGGAAAUGGCUCAAUCGGAGGUAGGGUCCAACGGCUGGAAGAGCACUGCAUGUCACAUGGUGUCCGGUGUGCCCCCGAUGGCCCUUGAAAAUCCGAAGGACCGAGUGUCAACCAUACGCAGUCGUUCUCAUAACCGCAUUAGGUCUCUAAGGUGAACAGCCUCUGGUUGAUGGAACAAUGUAGGCAGGGGAAGUCGAGCUACUUUCCUGGUGAGAGCGGGUUACCGCAUGCCGGUCAGGGGACAGAUUGGGAACGGCCCCAUUGAGGGCCUUUCCCGAGUGUCAAAUAGUUAACUCAAAACUGGUAUGGACAAGGGGAAUCCAACUGUUUAAUUAAAACAAACCAUUGCGAUGGUCCCUGCGGAUGCUCACGUAAUGUGAUUUCUGCCCAGUGCUCUGAAUGUCAAAGUGAAGAAAUUCAACCAAGCGCGGGUAAAUGGCGGGAGUAACUAUGACACUCUUAUGGUAGCUAAAUGCCUCGUCAUCUAAUUAGUGACGCGCAUAAAUGGAUUAAUGAGAUUCCCACUGUCCCUAUCUACUAUCCAACGAAACCAUAGCCAAGGGAAUGGGCUUAGCAGAAUCAGCGGGGAAAGAAGACCCUGUUGAGCUUGACUCUAGUUCGACUUUGUGAAAUGACUUGAUAGGUGUAGGAUAAGUGGGAGCUGGAAACAGCGCAAGUGAAAUACCACUACUUUUAAUGUUAUUUUUCUUACUCCGUGAGUCAGAGGCGGGGCCCUACCCCUCCUUUUGGACCCAAGGCUUACCUCGACAGGGCUAUCCGGGCGGAGGACACUAUCAGGUGGGGAGUUUGGCUGGGGUGGCACAUUUGUUAAAAGAUAACACAGGUGUCCUAAGAUGAGCUCAACGAGAACAGAAAUCUUGUGUGGAACAUAAGGGUAAAAGCUCGUUUGAUUCUGAUUUCCAUUACGAAUACAAACCGUGAAAGCGUGGCCUAUUAAUCCUUUAGACCUUCAGAAUUUGAAUCUAGAGGUGUCAAAAAAGUUACCACAGGGAUAACUGGCUUGUGGUAGCCAAGCGUUCAUAGUGAUGUUGCUUUUUGAUCCUUCGAUGUUGGCUCCUCCUAUCAUUGCGAAGCAGAAUUCGCCAAGUGUUGGAUUGUUCACCCACCAAUAGGGAACGUGAGCUGGGUUUAGAUCGUCGUGAGACAGAUUAGUUUUACCCUACUAAUGACAGUGUCACGAUAGUAAUUCAACCUAGUACGAGAGGAACAGUUGAUUCACACAAUUGGUCAUUGCGCUUGGUUGAAAAGCCAGUGGCACGAAGCUGCCAUGUGCCAGAUUAUGACUGAACGCCUCUACGUCAGAAUCAAGGCUAAAGAAAUGACGCCUGUGCCCGUCGCCCGUUUAUCGACCCGUAGUAGGGGCCCUCCAGUCCCCAGAGUCAUGUGUUGUUGGCUAAGCCCCUGUAGUGGAUGUGUUGUGUGGACUGCCUUGAAGCGUAAUUCCUGUCGGGCGAUGGGUCAAAUCCUUUGCAGAUGGCUUAAAUACGCGACGGGGUAAUGUAAGUGGCAGAGUGGGCUUGCUGGCACGAUCCACUGAGAUUUGGCCUUUUGCAUCGAUUCGU